RNAcentral lists this long non-coding RNA (921 nucleotides) under Ananas comosus (pineapple). RNAcentral's name for it is "long non-coding RNA (ACOM_LNC013866)". Lineage: Eukaryota; Viridiplantae; Streptophyta; Magnoliopsida; Poales; Bromeliaceae. The record is from RNAcentral.
CAAUUUUUGGAUUAAGUUUUUUAAGAACAUUAAUUGUUUCAUAUAAUAUAGGCUUCCUUCGAAAUUACGGGGAGAUUGCGUUACGUGUGGUGAGAAACUACGAUAGAAAAAUAUUCCGUUUGUUUCCGUACGUAAUAUUGUGUUUCGUAUAAAUCGGUUAUAAUAUAUUUUCUAUGGUUCCACCAGAGAACACAGAAUCAUAUCUCUAUAUGCUUUUUUUUUUUAACUCCAUUUUAGCUAAUUAACAACGUCAGAUAGAUCUUAAUAUCAAAGUAAGCCUUAAUAUGCUAUUAAUUACGAGAAUAUGAAUUCGAGUGUCACCACCGGACUCUUAGCAUUAUUGAUUUAUUUCUAUUUAAUUUAAGCUUAUGUCUUAGGAAUCUUACGGUGCUCUCAGUGUUAUUAAUUUCUUCCCAUUUAAUCCAGCAUUCCCAUUUCAAGAGUGCGUUUUGGGGGCUCAAGUUCAAAACAUGAGAAAAAAGUAUUGAAUAUAAAUAUUAAAAAUACUGUUCUAUGAUAACAUGAGUUUUUAAAGAAUAAUAAUUGUUUCAUAUAAUUUAAUAUAUUUGAUUUUAAAUUAUUCAACUGUAUCUACAUAUGCUCCAUGACCAAGUUACCACAACAAUUCGAGCCCGACUAGAAUUUGUGCUCCCUAAAUAUGCAAUAUUAAGGAUUUUCAGUAAUUCAAAAUACACACCCCUUGAUAAUAUUUUCGGUAUAAUUCUCCAAUAUUUGUAAUACUAUGUUACCGACUCGAUUAUAUACCAGACGAAUCAAACACAAUAUAGUCCUGCCAGGAUUGUCUGUAAUCCUAUCAGGAUAACCCAAACCAAACACAGCCAUAAAGAUAUAUAUAUUUUUACACUUUUAAAUUUUAAAAUUUAUUUUUUUAAAAAAUAUUAGUAUUAAAAAAUUAACAAU